Molecule: ribosomal RNA, 463 nt
Filed under: uncultured bacterium
Lineage: Bacteria
Description: partial 16S ribosomal RNA
Rfam family: Bacterial small subunit ribosomal RNA
Source: RNAcentral
GAUGAACGCUGACAGAAUGCUUAACACAUGCAAGUCGAUGGGGAAGUGGUGCUUGCACCAUGGCAACCAUGGCGGACGGGUGAGUAACUCGUAAGGGACUUACCUGCAGGACUUGGAUAAGAGGGGGAAACUCCUGACAAAACCGGAUAAUGUCAUGGAGCUGCAGGGCUUUAUGGUGAAAGGAGACGCCUGCGGAGAGCCUUGCGUCCUAUUAGCUAUUUGGUAAGGUAAUGGCUCACCAAGCCGAAGAUAGGUAACCGGCCUGAGAGGGUGGACGGCCACGAGGGGACUGAGAGACGGCACUUACUCAUACGGGAGGCAGCAGUGGAGAAUAUUGGACAAUGGGGGCAACCCUGAUCCAGCAAUUCUGUGUGCAAGAAGAAGGUUUUCGGAUUGUAAAGUGCUUUCAGAAGGGAAGAAGUAAGUGACGGUACCUGAAGAAGAAGCGACGGCUAAAUACGUG